GUUUUUCUUGAGGGAUGAUUCAAGGACGAUGAGUGUCAAACUGAUCUACAGCAUGCUGCUGUUAAAGUAAAUGGUUUACCUUUUCUGGCUCCUUCUCGGUGCUCCUCAGAGCUUUGAUGCCCAGAACAGCCGAGCUGAUGGUGACACAGAGCUCCAGGACCGACAGGAUGAUCAGCACUGCAUUGAUGCUCCUCAGGAGCAUC
Melanotaenia boesemani (Boeseman's rainbowfish) is the source of this 203-nucleotide long non-coding RNA. RefSeq lists it as uncharacterized. The transcript is spliced from 2 exons. The record is from RefSeq and is a predicted model, not a curated record. Lineage: Eukaryota; Metazoa; Chordata; Actinopteri; Atheriniformes; Melanotaeniidae.